This 253-nucleotide ribosomal RNA is filed under the name uncultured bacterium. RNAcentral's name for it is "partial 16S ribosomal RNA". It matches the Rfam family "Bacterial small subunit ribosomal RNA", at positions 524 to 776 of the family's 1533-position model. The record is from RNAcentral.
UACGGGGGGAGCAAGCGUUGUUCGGAUUUACUGGGCGUAAAGGGCGCGUAGGCGGCGCAACAAGUCACUUGUGAAAUCUCCGGGCUUAACCCGGAGCGGCCAAGUGAUACUGUCGUGCUAGAGUGCGGAAGGGGCUACUGGAAUUCUCGGUGUAGCGGUGAAAUGCGUAGAUAUUGGGAGGAACACCAGUGGCGAAGGCGGCUCACUGGACCGGUACUGACGCUGAGGCGCGAAAGCGUGGGGAGCAAACAGG